Molecule: long non-coding RNA, 263 nt
Filed under: Drosophila melanogaster (fruit fly)
Lineage: Eukaryota; Metazoa; Arthropoda; Insecta; Diptera; Drosophilidae
Description: long non-coding RNA:CR44265 (Dmel_CR44265)
Source: RNAcentral
AGUUAUUUGUAUUUAUACUUGGUCUACCAGCUCAGCAGCCUGGAGAUACAAAUGUAUCUUUUAACUGCGAUGUCAAACGUCUGAUAAAAUUCGAAUUGCUCUGUGGGAAGGGCACAACAAACAAAUGAAUCCGCGGCCACCCACAACAGCCCACUCACACAUGAACACACCGAGGCACACGGGAGAGAAAUCCACGCACAAGUGUCGGAGAGAGAGAAAUGUGUACACAAAAGCAGAAGUGGCGGGAAACGUUGCUAAUAUUU